Molecule: ribosomal RNA, 497 nt
Filed under: uncultured bacterium
Lineage: Bacteria
Description: partial 16S ribosomal RNA
Rfam family: Bacterial small subunit ribosomal RNA
Source: RNAcentral
GAUGAACGCUGGCGGCGUGCCUAAUACAUGCAAGUCGAGCGAACGGACGAGAAGCUUGCUUUUCUGAUGUUAGCGGCGGACGGGUGAGUAACACGUGGAUAACCUACCUAUAAGACUGGGAUAACUUCGGGAAACCGGAGCUAAUACCGGAUAAUAUUUUGAACCGCAUGGUUCAAAAGUGAAAGACGGUCUUGCUGUCACUUAUAGAUGGAUCCGCGCUGCAUUAGCUAGUUGGUAAGGUAACGGCUUACCAAGGCAACGAUGCAUAGCCGACCUGAGAGGGGGGUCGGCCCCACUGGAACUGGGACACGGUCCAGACUCCUACGGGAGGCAGCAGUAGGGAAUCUUCCGCAAUGGGCGAAAGCCUGACGGAGCAACGCCGCGUGAGUGAUGAAGGUCUUCGGAUCGUAAAACUCUGUUAUUAGGGAAGAACAUAUGUGUAAGUAACUGUGCACAUCUUGACGGUACCUAAUCAGAAAGCCACGGCUAACUACGUG